This 193-nucleotide ribosomal RNA is filed under the name uncultured bacterium. RNAcentral describes it as "partial 16S ribosomal RNA". It matches the Rfam family "Bacterial small subunit ribosomal RNA", at positions 337 to 522 of the family's 1533-position model. The record is from RNAcentral.
UCCUACGGGAGGCAGCAGUGGGGAAUUUUGGACAAUGGGCGCAAGCCUGAUCCAGCAAUGCCGCGUGAGUGAAGAAGGCCUUCGGGUUGUAAAGCUCUUUUGUCAGGGAAGAAACGGUGAGUCCUAAUAUGGCUUGCUAAUGACGGUACCUGAAGAAUAAGCACCGGCUAACUACGUGCCAGCAGCCGCGGUA